This 207-nucleotide ribosomal RNA is filed under the name uncultured bacterium. Its description in RNAcentral is "partial 16S ribosomal RNA". It matches the Rfam family "Bacterial small subunit ribosomal RNA", at positions 568 to 774 of the family's 1533-position model. The record is from RNAcentral.
CGUGUAGGCGGCGAUUUAAGUCUGGAGUGAAAGUCCUGCUUUUAAGGUGGGAAUUGCUUUGGAUACUGGAUGGCUAGAGUGCAGGAGAGGUUAGUGGAAUUCCCAGUGUAGCGGUGAAAUGCGUAGAUAUUGGGAAGAACACCAGUGGCGAAGGCGGCUUUCUGGACUGUAACUGACGCUGAGGCUCGAAAGCUAGGGUAGGCAACG